UCCGGCUUAUCACCGGCAGUCUCCCAUGAGUCCCCGCCAUUACGUGCUGGCAACUAAAAAUAAGGGUUGCGCUCGUUGCGGGACUUAACCCAACACCUCACGGCACGAGCUGACGACAACCAUGCACCACCUGUGUACGGCCCCUAAGGACACCGUAUCUCUACGGCUUUUCCGUACAUUUCAAGCCUUGGUAAGGUUCUUCGCGUUGCUUCGAAUUAAGCCACAUGCUCCGCCGCUUGUGCGGGCCCCCGUCAAUUCCUUUGAGUUUUAACCUUGCGGUCGUAAUCCCCAGGCGGGGUGCUUAAUGCGUUAGCUACGGCACGGAGGGAGUGGAUAACCCCCCACACCUAGCACCCAUCGUUUACGGCGUGGACUAC
RNAcentral lists this unclassified non-coding RNA (377 nucleotides) under uncultured Euzebyaceae bacterium. RNAcentral's name for it is "contains 16S-23S intergenic spacer region". The record is from RNAcentral. Lineage: Bacteria; Bacillati; Actinomycetota; Nitriliruptoria; Euzebyales; Euzebyaceae.